Molecule: unclassified non-coding RNA, 371 nt
Filed under: soil metagenome
Description: partial contains 5.8S ribosomal RNA, internal transcribed spacer 2, and large subunit ribosomal RNA
Rfam family: 5.8S ribosomal RNA (bases 1-120)
Source: RNAcentral
GAUGAAGAACGUAGCGAAAUGCGAUAAGUAAUGUGAAUUGCAGGAUUCAGUGAAUCAUCGAAUCUUUGAACGCACAUUGCGCCCCCCGGCAUUCCGGGGAGCAUGCCUGUUCGAGCGUCUCUUGGAAUACCCCCCACGCCGGCGGAGGCGUGGUCAUGGCGGCGGUGGCGUGCCCCGAGAGGGAGGCCACCGCGCUGGAAUCCAUGGGCGGACGCCUGCCGCGUGGCCGAGCGUGAUAAGACGCACUGGCGCUCGCGCGCGGCGAGGCUGCCGGCCCUGGCCCGCUCGUCGGGCGGGGACAGCAACACUUGGGAACUCCUCGAAUCAGGUAGGGAUACCCGCUGAACUUAAGCAUAUCAAUAAGCGGAGGA